This is a long non-coding RNA of Rosa chinensis, 976 nucleotides long. RefSeq lists it as uncharacterized. NCBI's taxonomy places the organism in Eukaryota, Viridiplantae, Streptophyta, Magnoliopsida, Rosales, Rosaceae. The record is from RefSeq and is a predicted model, not a curated record. The transcript is spliced from 6 exons.
GCGCGUCAAGACUCUCUAAAUCAGUUCAUAUCCCGUCUCCUAUAGCUAGACGGCGGAACUCUGUCUCUCUCUUUCUCUCGCUCGAUCUCUCGCUCAAAGCUGGUUCUUAACAAUUUGGCCUCAGUUGCUAUCACGACUACAGAAUCAAGCAAGGUCUCUCUAUCACUGCCCUAAAUUAGUGAUUUCUGUUCGCCUCAGUCAGGUGAAGAAGAAAAGCUACAACUUUGAUGCACUAUUAUCAUCGCUAAUUAUUCCUGGGAUUGGUCUUGGAUAGAGUCAAUUCAAUGAAUAUUUGGAGGAGAGGCCAGAAGAUGAACAAGAUGAUACUUUUCGUGAAGAGGUAUUCACUAAAGUGAUGGGAGAAGAUGCACAUGGACGUGUUCGCAUGUAUGGAACAGGUGUAACUCCAUCUCAAGUGUCUGGUAAUUCCAAAGCUUAUGAGACUAAUGAGAAAAGGACAAUUGAGGAAAUGGAAAGAAAAUAUGAGGAAAUGGAAAAAAACUAUCAAACAAAGCUAGAUGAUCUUAAAUUGAGCCAUGAAUCUCAAUUGGGAGACAUGAAAUUAAAGUACGAUGAUGUAUCGAAUCGUCUCAAUCUUUUGAUGGCUCAUGUUGGUAUCCAAGUAAACCCAAGUUGAAGUACAAGUGAACAGAUUCAUGAUUCCUCAAGUCCACAACAACUUAGGCGUAAUAUAGAUACUGAUGGACAUCGUCAAUUGAAUUUGGAAGGGCAGCGACAAUUAUCUUCGUCUACAAACACAACUACAUGAUAAACUAUAAGGUUGGAGAAAUAUCUAGGUGUUGAUGCUGGAAGUACAAGAUGUCAAUAAAUUUAACAAUUAGCAUGCUACUCUAAACUCGAUUAUUUAGUUUAAUAUUUUGACUACUACUGUAUUCGCAGCGACUUUUUAGUUUGUAUGACUCAAGGCAUUUGUUAUACAAUUAUUAUGUAUAUUACUCUUUCGUAUCAUUUCAAC